Molecule: non-coding RNA, 568 nt
Organism: Pelodiscus sinensis (Chinese soft-shelled turtle)
Lineage: Eukaryota; Metazoa; Chordata; Testudines; Trionychidae
Source: the annotation of a RefSeq genome assembly
CUGUGCUGCAGGGUUCAAGAGAGAAUCAGAGGGAUCCCGCCACAGACCUGUUUGCUUGAGGAAGCCGACCUUGUCUGGAUCCACCAUGGCCUGGGCCCCUCUGCUCCUCACCCUGCUCACUUACUGCAUUGGUUUCAGUUCCCAGCAGAUCCAGUCCUUGAAGCCAACCGAGUUAGUGUCUCUUGGAGGGACCGUGACCCUCUCCUGCAGCCUGAGCAGUGGGGCCAUCACNGACAGCAACUACCCGCUCUGGGUUCAACAGAGACAGGGGAAUGUUCCCCGGACGAUCAUGCACAGCACGAGCACCAGGCCCUCGGGCAUCCCGGCCCGUUUCACUGGCUCCAGAGCAGGAAACACUAUGUCCCUGACCAUCACGGGGGCCUUGGCAGAAGAUGACGCUGAUUAUUACUGUGUUGUGUGGACUGGGAGUGCUCAUCACAGCGAUACAUUCAGAUGGGGAAGUGACACAAAAAUCUCCCUCCCCAGUCUGUGUACAGCACGAGCACCAGGCCCUCGGGCAUCCCGGCCCGUUUCACUGGCUCCAGAGCAGGAAACACUAUGUCCCUGA